RNAcentral lists this unclassified non-coding RNA (4775 nucleotides) under Cotesia glomerata. RNAcentral describes it as "phosphatidate phosphatase LPIN2, transcript variant X3". The record is from RNAcentral. Lineage: Eukaryota; Metazoa; Arthropoda; Insecta; Hymenoptera; Braconidae.
AUAAUUAAAACUAUAAAUUUUAGUUUUCAAAGUAUAAUUAAUUGUUUACUUUUUAAUUGAACUCAGUUUGCAUAAAUAUUGGAUAUACUCUGGAUAUUUUCAAUUUAAAAAAUCCAAAAGUGAAAAUUUCGCGCCACGUGCGUUGAUUGAUCACGUGGUACGCCAUCUUAUCGACCGAACAGUCAGCACAAGCUGUCAUUGGAUUUUCCAAGAUCACGUGACCUAUUAACUGACGUUCGUCCCCACCAGUCGUGUUCAUCGCGUACUAUCUGGUGCAAUCUAGUGUACGAGGAAUGAGGAUCGUCGGUGUGUACAGAUAUAAUACCGAGUGAAUAUAUAUGUAUAAUUGUGAGCGGGUGCUGUACUGGCUCCGGGACUGGGGAAAGUUACAGUAACAAACAAGCACGAGCAGGCAAAAGCUAUUACAGCCUGGCCAAGACCCUUGAGGUCUUAUGGAUUAAGAGAACAAAGGAUUUACAACGCCAAGUUUUUGUUAACGUUUAUCGGAGUAAUUAUUUGAUCAUAAUUGUCACCUGCCACAAUUGUGACCGUCUCAUUGUAAUUUUCAUUAUUUAUAUAUUUAUUUGAUUUAAUAAUAAUUAAAAUAUAAGUUCAAGUAGAACUAUUUAAUCAAUUGAACAUAAACACAAUAAUCAUUUGUUUCAUUUUAAUAUCAGUGAUAUCAGUUAUAUAAAUAUAUAUAGUUACACUUGUGAUUUAAAUUUGACAGUUUUUUUUUUUUUUUUUCGCUAAAUCUAUAUAUUUACAUAUUGUGUAUUUCUCGGAAAUGUAUGACGACAAAUCAAUACAUACAUCAGCUUUGCUUAAGUGAAACAACGUUGAAGUGGACUUUGAAUCGAGUUUAUAAUAAAUAUUAUUGUUUUACGAAAUACACAUAAGAUUAAUUGUUUUUAUAAAAUUUAUUUUUAAUAAUUGAAUGUCUUAUAAUAAGUAUCAUUGUGAUGAUUAGAUAAAUGAGACAUGAGUUAUUUUUUUUUUUAAUUAUUGUCCGAUAUUUAAUUGUUGUAAACAGAACAAAGAUUUAAAUAAUAGAUUGAUAAUUAACAACGAUUGGUUAAAUAGACGAGGCAUAUAAAAUGUACAGCAUGAACUACAUUGGCAAGUUCAUUAGCAACUUCCGUGAUUUUUACAAUGAAAUUAAUGCGGCUACUCUUACUGGAGCUAUUGAUGUCAUUGUCGUUGAGCAAGAUGAUGGAUCAUUCACUUGCUCGCCUUUUCAUGUCAGAUUCGGCAAACUUGGAGUUUUGAGAUCGCGAGAGAAAGUGGUGGAUAUCGAAAUAAAUGGAGAGCCAAGACAAAUUCAGAUGAAACUAGGUGACUCUGGAGAAGCUUUUUUCGUCGAAGAAGUAAGCUCACAUGGUCUUGAAAAUGGCACUGAAAUACCACCACACCUUGCUUGUUCACCUAUACCAGAUGACAAUUGCUUUCCACCUCCUAGAUUUCAUUUAUUAUCUGAUUUACCUCAAGAGCAGCAUGAAAAGAUACUACGCGAUUCAGUGCUGUCGAUAGAACGUGAAAAGUUGGAGCAGAUGUCUUCGUUGCCAGUAGAUCAACGUGAAAAAUUUUUAAUCGAACAAUUUUCGGAUUUACCUGCUGAACAUCGAGAAAAAUGGCUGCAAAUAGCUUCGAUGACAUACGAAGAGCGCAGUAAAAUAUUUGAAGAAAGUUUGAGUGCAAUGUCAACUCGACAAAAACAGCAAAUGAUACGUGAUGAAUAUUCGGCGUUGAAGAUAGAAGAUAGAGAACGGUUGUUUAAAGAAAAUUUUCCGGAACUGCCAGCUGAGCAGAGACCAAAGUUUGAGAAAGCAUUGUUGAAUGAUUGGAAAAGCAAAGAGGAUGACUAUGAAGAUGAAGAAAAAUGGAAAGGUCACAAUAAACUUUCGCUGCAAGCUGAGGAAGAAAUUUUUGAUAUGGAUAACAUCAAUGAAGAUGAAACUAAACCUGUGUCAACACCAAAAUCUUUCGUCGCUGUUACUUCAACGGAGAGAAUAAGAAAAAUAAGCGUUGUUAAUAAUGAUUUUAGACCUAUUACCGAUGAUCCGUCAAGUGAUGCUAGAGAAAAAACUUCACGUGAUGAAUCUAGUAUUGUGGAAAAAAAAUCUCAUGUUGAAGGAAUCACAGAUGAAGUUAAAGUUCAGACUUCAUCGUCAUCUAAACGUAAAAGGAGAAAGAAGAGUCUUAUGAAGAAAAAAGGAGCUCAAAGAAAAGCAAGCAAUGGAAGUAGCAGUCAAACAGAAGUCAGUGAGACUGAGACAACUCCACCAACUGAAGAAUCACAUAAUGAACCAGUAUUAAAGAACUCCAGUCCAAUCAUUGAAAGUGAAACCAAAACUACUGAAGAGUUACCACCACCAUCGGAUUAUCAUUUCUUCAGUGACACUGAAAUUACUAAGAACCGGGAUUCCAGGCCUUGCUCACCCGUACAAUCUGACACGGAAUUUGAGAUGCGUAAAAUUGAACAGCAACGUGAAGAAGGUAAAGAACACGAAGAUGACAAAAGCCAUCAGCAGAGUUGGAGAUGGGGUGAAUUACCAAGUCCACCAAUUGAUACGCCUCAUGCUCUUAACUCUGUUACAACUGUUAUUCAACCAAAUGACGCAGAGGCACAACGUUCUAUGCUCAGUGGUAUGUUCUCCUUCAUGAAGAAGACAUCGCGCGUAAGACACAAUCCAGAAUCAGAGGGCAUUUACCUGAGUGAUUUGAAUGCAGAUGAAUUGGAUCCUGAAGUAGCUGCCCUUUAUUUUCCCUCUUCCCAUCGCGGAACUACCGUGGCGAAAGGAGAUAAACAAGCUGACGAAGAAGAUACUGAAUCUGGUAAUGGCCCAAGCUUACCACAGAGUCCUAACAGCGUAGAGGGUGCUAUUGGAGGUCCAAAAUCACUGGAUAGUGAUUUUGAAGAAUCUAAACAAUCAUUGUUUGAGAAUAAUAUUGAUAUAAGUUUAUCAUUAUGUGGUGGCUUGGACACUGAUGACGGUCCGAGUGAUGAAUUAUUUCAACAAAAUUUACUUCAAUACGACGAUCUUUGUAAUGAUACUAAAUUAUACGAAAAUCCAAAUUUAGUAAUUAAAAUAAAUGGUAAAUAUUAUAAUUGGACAACAGCUUGUCCAAUUAUUAUUUCACUGGCUGCUUUUCAACGUGGCUUACCACAACAUACCAUUGAAAAUUUAUACGCGCAAUAUGGCUCACUGCCGAUGCACCAAGACAAUAAGAAAGAAACUGUCAGUAAAACAAACGAAACAAGAACCGGUUAUAGUUCAUGGUUCUCGUGGAGGCGUUCAUCGACACAGCCGCCUAAAAAACUUUCCGAAACCGUUGACCAAGACGGACAGUCAAUCCCGAUAGAAAACAGUCAACCUACUGAAUUAUUAGAGCCUGCAAUUGAUGUCGAAGAAAUUGACUCGCCAUCUAAAACUCUAGAAAAAGAAGAAGAAGAAGAAGAACAGGUGAUUGCAGAAUUAAAUGAUGUAGAGAAUGAUUCAUUGGGCAAGCCCGAAGAAAAUAAUAUGGUUCAGUCAUCAGUUGAACGAGCUAAUGAAAAACCGGAAGGCGAAGGGUACAGCGGAAGUGAAGACUCAGAUAGCAAUCCAAACGAGACUCAAGGAGUUAGAAUACCAGAACGACGAAGACCGUACUAUGAAUCUGGUGAAAAGUAUCGCAAAACAUUGAGACUUACGUCUGAACAAAUAGAAAGCUUAAAUCUUAAAGAAGGAUCUAAUGAAGUUGUAUUUAGUGUUACUACGGCUUAUCAAGGUACAUCACGUUGUAAGUGUCACAUUUAUCGAUGGAAAUGGAAUGAUAAAAUAGUAAUAUCUGACAUCGAUGGAACUAUUACGAAGUCUGAUGUAUUAGGACACAUUCUGCCAAUUGUAGGAAAAGACUGGGCCCAAUCGGGUGUUGCUCAACUUUUUACUAAGAUUAAAAAUAAUGGUUAUAAGUUAUUGUAUUUAUCAGCGCGUGCUAUUGGCCAAGCACGUGGUACAAGACAGUAUUUGAAAAGUAUAAAACAGGAUGAUCUUUCACUUCCCGAAGGACCUCUACUUUUGAAUCCCACCAGUCUUUUGUCUGCAUUCCAUCGGGAAGUUAUUGAGAAAAAACCUGAGCAGUUUAAAAUAUCUUGUCUCAGUGAUAUUCAGGCGCUAUUUCCUGAAGGUUCUAAUCCGUUUUACGCUGGAUAUGGCAAUCGAAUAAAUGAUGUGUGGGCUUAUAGAGCUGUUGGUAUUCCAAUUACACGAAUUUUUACAAUUAAUCAUCGUGGAGAGUUGAAACAUGAGUUGACUCAGACAUUCCAGUCAUCCUAUGCGUGUCAGAGUGAUAGCGUCAAUGAUUUGUUCCCACCUCUACCCAGGGCAACCAUUCACUGAUGACAACACAACCAUAGACAAUUUUUUUUUUUACUUUUUUUAGACUAUUAAUUAUUUAUUCUACUGAAUUUCGUGCAAAUAUUUAUCACGGUGAUUUUAUUAGUAUUAUUAUUUAAAUAAUAUAUCUAACUAUAUUUCAUAAAGAAUAUAAUUUAUUUUUUAAUAACAAAAAAACGAUCCGCGUUUUAAAUAUAGCUUUUUAGCUUGCAUAUACGGUAUUUGGUUGUCCGUCAACUUCUUCUUAUUAUUUAUAGGAUACUCAAAUAUGAGUUACAUUGUGGAUCAUUUAUUCCCAGCAUUGAGAGAAGAUGCUUCUGAUGAAUUCAGUCAUUUUUCAUAUUGGCGAGAUCCAAUUCCAGAAUUGCCAAAUCUCAAUGAAUUACUUAUUGAAAA